Molecule: ribosomal RNA, 1429 nt
Filed under: uncultured organism
Description: SSU rRNA
Rfam family: Bacterial small subunit ribosomal RNA
Source: RNAcentral
ACGCUAGCGACAGGCUUAACACAUGCAAGUCGAGGGGCAGCACAGGUAGCAAUACCGGGUGGCGACCGGCGCACGGGUGAGUAACGCGUAUGCAACUUGCCUAUCAGAGGGGGAUAACCCGGCGAAAGUCGGACUAAUACCGCAUGAAGCAGGGAUCCCGCAUGGGAAUAUUUGCUAAAGAUUCAUCGCUGAUAGAUAGGCAUGCGUUCCAUUAGGCAGUUGGCGGGGUAACGGCCCACCAAACCGACGAUGGAUAGGGGUUCUGAGAGGAAGGUCCCCCACAUUGGUACUGAGACACGGACCAAACUCCUACGGGAGGCAGCAGUGAGGAAUAUUGGUCAAUGGCCGAGAGGCUGAACCAGCCAAGUCGCGUGAGGGAUGAAGGUUCUAUGGAUCGUAAACCUCUUUUAUAAGGGAAUAAAGUACGGGACGUGUCCCGUUUUGUAUGUACCUUAUGAAUAAGGAUCGGCUAACUCCGUGCCAGCAGCCGCGGUAAUACGGAGGAUCCGAGCGUUAUCCGGAUUUAUUGGGUUUAAAGGGUGCGUAGGCGGCCUUUUAAGUCAGCGGUGAAAGUCUGUGGCUCAACCAUAGAAUUGCCGUUGAAACUGGGGGGCUUGAGUAUGUUUGAGGCAGGCGGAAUGCGUGGUGUAGCGGUGAAAUGCAUAGAUAUCACGCAGAACCCCGAUUGCGAAGGCAGCCUGCCAAGCCAUGACUGACGCUGAUGCACGAAAGCGUGGGGAUCAAACAGGAUUAGAUACCCUGGUAGUCCACGCAGUAAACGAUGAUCACUAGCUGUUUGCGAUACACUGUAAGCGGCACAGCGAAAGCGUUAAGUGAUCCACCUGGGGAGUACGCCGGCAACGGUGAAACUCAAAGGAAUUGACGGGGGCCCGCACAAGCGGAGGAACAUGUGGUUUAAUUCGAUGAUACGCGAGGAACCUUACCCGGGUUUGAACGCAUUCGGACCGAGGUGGAAACACCUUUUCUAGCAAUAGCCGUUUGCGAGGUGCUGCAUGGUUGUCGUCAGCUCGUGCCGUGAGGUGUCGGCUUAAGUGCCAUAACGAGCGCAACCCUUGCCACUAGUUACUAACAGGUAAAGCUGAGGACUCUGGUGGGACUGCCAGCGUAAGCUGCGAGGAAGGCGGGGAUGACGUCAAAUCAGCACGGCCCUUACAUCCGGGGCGACACACGUGUUACAAUGGCGUGGACAAAGGGAAGCCACCUGGCGACAGGGAGCGAAUCCCCAAACCACGUCUCAGUUCGGAUCGGAGUCUGCAACCCGACUCCGUGAAGCUGGAUUCGCUAGUAAUCGCGCAUCAGCCAUGGCGCGGUGAAUACGUUCCCGGGCCUUGUACACACCGCCCGUCAAGCCAUGGGAGCCGGGGGUACCUGAAGUCCGUAACCGCGAGGAUCGGCCUAGGGUAAAAAA